GUGUCAGCAGCCGCGGUAAUACGUAGGUGGCAAGCGUUGUUCGGAUUUACUGGGCGUAAAGGGCGCGUAGGCGGCAUGACAAGUCACUUGUGAAAUCUCCGGGCUUAACUCGGAACGGCCAAGUGAUACUGUCACGCUAGAGUGCAGAAAGGGCAAUCGGAAUUCUUGGUGUAGCGGUGAAAUGCGUAGAUAUCAAGAGGAACACCUGAGGCGAAGGCGGCAUCCUGGACCGGCAUUGACGCUGAGGCGCGAAAGCCAGGGGAGCAAACGGGAUUAGAUACCCCGGUAGUCCUGGCCCUAAACGAUGAGUGCUUGGUGUGGCGGGUAUCGAUCCCUGCCGUGCCGAAGCUAACGCAUUAAGCACUCCGCCUGGGGAGUACGGUCGCAAGGCUGAA
This 395-nucleotide ribosomal RNA is filed under the name uncultured bacterium. Its description in RNAcentral is "bacterial SSU rRNA". It matches the Rfam family "Bacterial small subunit ribosomal RNA", at positions 505 to 898 of the family's 1533-position model. The record is from RNAcentral.